Phoenix dactylifera (date palm) is the source of this 733-nucleotide long non-coding RNA. RefSeq lists it as uncharacterized. NCBI's taxonomy places the organism in Eukaryota, Viridiplantae, Streptophyta, Magnoliopsida, Arecales, Arecaceae. The record is from RefSeq and is a predicted model, not a curated record.
AGCGAACCUUCAACAAAUACCACGAUCAUCAGAUUGCGGUGAUCAUCUACCCGCACAAGAAUUUUUCUGAAAUUUUCUGCGGCGUGCGAGGAAUUCCAACACCCGAGCCCCGAUCGGCGAUCGAAGAUGCCGCUUCUCCGCUGCCGUCGACCUCGCCGUCGUCUGAGAUAGAAAUACAUGGUCCUAUCAAUUCAUCUUCAUUUUGGUUGUUGCCGUUGUCGCUGAUGCUCAUAGAUGUCGAUAGGCCAUGUAAGGGGAGUGGGGAAGGGGAUGGGGAAGAAGAAGGGAGUACAGAAAGAUAAAGUGCAGAAAGGCAAAUGGGACCAAUUGAUAGUAUCUGCAAAAUAACAUGGAGCUGGAGUAGAAUAUCAAAAUACUUCAGACAGGAUCCUUUCUGGAGUUUUUUUUUUCACUUAGGAACCCUUAGCCUAUCAAUAUUUUGUAACCUUUUUACUGUGAGAUUUGUAAAUUCAGGUGUUUUCAAGAGUUCUUGGCUAUUCAGGCACCCUCUAAUGUAAAGUCAAUAGGUUGCAUCCUGCUCUAGCCACGCAUGCCAAAAGCUUGAAACAAUGUCUGCAUGUACAGAAGUGGAUGAAACCAGCAUCGCAUGCUGGGCUCCAAGCCUUACAGAUUAAAUAGUAGCAGAAAACAUUAUAUUGGACCCAGGUAAAGCCCUUAAACAGGGUGGAGUUGUUUCUCCUCUCAUGCUUUACAUAUUUGAUAUUGUCUCUAA